AAGCUCGUAGUUGAAACUGUGUCCUGCGGCGUUUGUCUACCGAUUGCGGUACGACAGGCGCGUCUGCGGGGCUUCUCGCCGGUGCGUCUUCCGAUCCUUCCGCGUGCGUCGUGCGCUCUACCGCAAGGUUGUGCGUAAGGCGUCGCGGUUCAAGGGGUCGGGUCGUCGCGGCUUUUUACUUUGAACAAAUUAGAGUGCUCAAAGCGGGCUGUUUUUCGCCUGAAUAUUGUACGCAUGGAAUAAUAGAAUAGGACCUCGGUUCUGUUUUGUUGGCUUUCUGACACCAGAGGUAAUGAUUAAUAGGGACAACUGGGGGCAUUCGUAUUGCGACGUUAGAGGUGAAAUUCUUGGAUCGUCGCAAGACGGACUAAAGCGAAAGCAUUUGCCAAAGGUGUUUUCAUUAAUCAAGAACGAAAGUUAGAGGUUCGAAGGCGAUUAGAUACCGCUGUAGUUCUAACCAUAAAUGAUGCCAGCCAGCGAUCCGCCGAAGUAUCAAAUUAAAAUUACCCGGUGGGCAGCUCCCGGGAAACCAA
RNAcentral lists this ribosomal RNA (533 nucleotides) under Agraylea sexmaculata. Its description in RNAcentral is "bacterial SSU rRNA". It matches the Rfam family "Eukaryotic small subunit ribosomal RNA", at positions 624 to 1101 of the family's 1831-position model. Lineage: Eukaryota; Metazoa; Arthropoda; Insecta; Trichoptera; Hydroptilidae. The record is from RNAcentral.